This 497-nucleotide ribosomal RNA is filed under the name uncultured bacterium. RNAcentral describes it as "partial 16S ribosomal RNA". It matches the Rfam family "Bacterial small subunit ribosomal RNA", at positions 28 to 507 of the family's 1533-position model. The record is from RNAcentral.
GAUGAACGCUGGCGGCGUGCCUAAUACAUGCAAGUCGAGCGAACAGACGAGGAGCUUGCUCCUCUGACGUUAGCGGCGGACGGGUGAGUAACACGUGGAUAACCUACCUAUAAGACUGGGAUAACUUUGGGAAACCGGAGCUAAUACCGGAUAAUAUCUUGAACCGCAUUGUUCAAUAGUGAAAGACGGUUUUGCUGUCACUUAUAGAUGGAUCCGCGCCGCAUUAGCUAGUUGGUAAGGUAACGGCUUACCAAGGCAACGAUGCGUAGCCGACCUGAGAGGGUGAUCGGCCACACUGGAACUGAGACACGGUCCAGACUCCUACGGGAGGCAGCAGUAGGGAAUCUUCCGCAAUGGGCGAAAGCCUGACGGAGCAACGCCGCGUGAGUGAUGAAGGUCUUCGGAUCGGAAAACUCUGUUAUUAGGGAAGAACAAAUGUGUAAGUAACUAUGCACGUCUUGACGGUACCUAAUCAGAAAGCCACGGCUAACUACGUG